GGCCUGAUGGUCUAGUAGUAUGAUUCACCCUUAGGGCUUGCAGUCUUCAUGGCUCAGCAAUGAAUGGGUGAGGUCCCGGGUUCAAUUCCCGGUCAAGCCC
Molecule: non-coding RNA, 100 nt
Organism: Melampsora americana
Lineage: Eukaryota; Fungi; Basidiomycota; Pucciniomycetes; Pucciniales; Melampsoraceae
Source: the annotation of a GenBank genome assembly